Salvelinus fontinalis (brook trout) is the source of this 542-nucleotide long non-coding RNA. RefSeq lists it as uncharacterized. The transcript has 3 exons. NCBI's taxonomy places the organism in Eukaryota, Metazoa, Chordata, Actinopteri, Salmoniformes, Salmonidae. The record is from RefSeq and is a predicted model, not a curated record.
GGGGGACACGACCCCCCCAUCCUGGGAAAAAUAUGACUUGUCCCCCCCAAUAUAUCACUGUAAACAUAACUAUGUAAUUUCAAUAAUAUUAAUAAUACGCAAUGAAAGCACUUGUGCUGAUUAUAGACACUUAAUAGCGCGUUUUUAAGUUUCACAAGAUUGCGACCCCCCCGCCCUUUGCCUCACGAUGGUUUGAUCCACUGCCAGUUCUUUAGCUUGCAAGGUAAUAGAGGGUUCGUAUCUACUGUCCGAAAGGCACUCGAUGUACGUAACUGACGUGAGGCAGAGCAGGCAACAGAUGGCACACAGACAGCUGAGUUGGGGACAGAUAUGCAGGGACAGACUGGCAGAGACAGGGAGUCUCAGGAGUCAGACUGUGAGUCAGUGAGGGUGGUGAAAGGGAAAGAGCCAAGGAGAGAGACUUCAGAGGACAGUGUCACAGCCACGGCAGGACCAGGUGUCACCCUUGUUGCCAGCAGCACCAGUAUAGGGGACAGUGGCACAGCAUCGUCCAGUUACCUCAGUGAUGGCACAAAACCAUA